AAGUGGAGAAGGGUUCCAUGUGAACAGCAGUUGAACAUGGGUCAGUCGGUCCUAAGGGAUAGGCGAAGGCCGUUCGGAAGGGGGGGGCGAUGGCCUCCGUCGCCCCCGUGUCGAUCGAAAGGGAAUCGGGUCCAGAUCCCCGAACCCGGAGUGGCGGAAACGGGCGCCGCGAGGCGCCCAGUGCGGUAACGCAAACAAACCCGGAAAAGCUGGCGGGGGCCCCGGGAAGAGUUCUCUUUUCUUUGUGAAGGGCCGGGCGCCCUGGAAUGGGUUCGUCCCGAGAUAGGGGCCCACGCCCUGGAAAGCGCCGCGGUUCCGGCGGCGUCCGGUGAGCUCUCGUCGGCCCUUGAAAAUCCGGGGGAAAAGGUGUAAUUCUCGCGCCGGGCCGUACCCAUAUCCGCAGCAGGUCUCCAAGGUGAACAGCCUCUGGCAUGUUGGAUCAAGGCAUGUAAGGGAAGUCGGCAAGUCAAAUCCGUAACUUCGGGAUAAGGAUUGGCUCU
This 500-nucleotide ribosomal RNA is filed under the name Labeo calbasu (orange-fin labeo). Its description in RNAcentral is "eukaryotic LSU rRNA". It matches the Rfam family "Eukaryotic large subunit ribosomal RNA", at positions 1494 to 1955 of the family's 3401-position model. Lineage: Eukaryota; Metazoa; Chordata; Actinopteri; Cypriniformes; Cyprinidae. The record is from RNAcentral.